Molecule: non-coding RNA, 93 nt
Organism: Hordeum vulgare subsp. vulgare (domesticated barley)
Lineage: Eukaryota; Viridiplantae; Streptophyta; Magnoliopsida; Poales; Poaceae
Source: Rfam
AUGAUACUCCCUCCAUCCCAAAAUUCUUGUCUUAGCUUUGUUUAGAAAUGGAUGUAUCUAAAGACAAGGAUUUUGGGAUGGAGGGAGUACUUU